RNAcentral lists this ribosomal RNA (661 nucleotides) under uncultured Pseudomonadota bacterium. RNAcentral's name for it is "bacterial SSU rRNA". It matches the Rfam family "Bacterial small subunit ribosomal RNA", at positions 55 to 705 of the family's 1533-position model. Lineage: Bacteria; Pseudomonadati; Pseudomonadota. The record is from RNAcentral.
AUGCAAGUCGAACGGUAACAGGAAGAAGCUUGCUUCUUUGCUGACGAGUGGCGGACGGGUGAGUAAUGUCUGGGAAACUGCCUGAUGGAGGGGGAUAACUACUGGAAACGGUAGCUAAUACCGCAUAACGUCGCAAGACCAAAAAGGGGGACCUUCGGGCCUCUUGCCAUCGGAUGUGCCCAGAUGGGAUUAGCUAGUAGGUGGGGUAACGGCUCACCUAGGCGACGAUCCCUAGCUGGUCUGAGAGGAUGACCAGCCACACUGGAACUGAGACACGGUCCAGACUCCUACGGGAGGCAGCAGUGGGGAAUAUUGCACAAUGGGCGCAAGCCUGAUGCAGCCAUGCCGCGUGUAUGAAGAAGGCCUUCGGGUUGUAAAGUACUUUCAGCGGGGAGGAAGGGAGUAAAGUUAAUACCUUUGCUCAUUGACGUUACCCGCAGAAGAAGCACCGGCUGACUCCGUGCCAGCAGCCGCGGUAAUACGGAGGGUGCAAGCGUUAAUCGGAAUUACUGGGCGUAAAGCGCACGCAGGCGGUUUGUUAAGUCAGAUGUGAAAUCCCCGGGCUCAACCUGGGAACUGCAUCUGAUACUGGCAAGCUUGAGUCUCGUAGAGGGGGGUAGAAUUCCAGGUGUAGCGGUGAAAUGCGUAGAGAUCUGGAGGA